RNAcentral lists this long non-coding RNA (5455 nucleotides) under Brassica napus (rape). RNAcentral's name for it is "long non-coding RNA (BNAP_LNC000950)". The record is from RNAcentral. Lineage: Eukaryota; Viridiplantae; Streptophyta; Magnoliopsida; Brassicales; Brassicaceae.
GGAGAAGAAACAAAUCAGAAAAUUGAGUCAAAAGCUCAAAACUCUAAAAGAAAGAGUGAAGAGAAAAAACAAAUCGUGGAUCGUUUGAGCAAACAAGACAAAUUUUGAAGGUGUUACUUUCUGAUCUCCUCUUUUUCUCAAACAUACCUCAAAGAUGGCUCGGGUGUUACUUGAGCCGCAAGCAAACGCACCGGCCGACGCAAACCCUAAAGCCAGAACAGGCUUUAACGACACCUACUUCGACACUAACAUGGUCAUUAUCUUAGCUGCUCUACUCUGUGCUCUGAUAUGUGCUCUAAGCCUCAACUCUGCUUUGCGAUGUGUGCUACGCAUCACAAGCAGAUUCACACCGGAGCAAGACGCAGCCGCUUCAAACGCAAACGCAAAUCCUGGACGUUUAACGGCUACCACGGGGCUCAAGAAACGGGCGCUGAAGCAAAUCCCCGUGGGAUUGUACGGAUCAGGGAUCAUUAACAUGAAAGCUACGGAGUGUUUGAUCUGUCUCGGGGAUUUCGUGGAAGGAGAGAAAGUUAGGGUUUUGCCAAAAUGUAACCAUGGCUUUCACGUGAGGUGCAUCGACACUUGGUUGCUUUCACGUGACUCUUGUCCCACUUGCAGACAAUCUCUUAUCCUUGAGCAACCGUCGCCGAUGGGUGGUAGUUCUCGCCGGGAUGAUGACGUGGCAGUUUCUGUCGUAGGGACAUAACUUGAUGGUUAUUUCUGAACUUUGCUGUGUUCUCAGUCGGGAUUUGGUUGGUUAUGUAAUAUUGUUUCUUAUUUUACUAGGUCUAAGUUGAUGUGAUCGUUUAGACAUGUAUAUUCUUGUGCGUUGGUGAUUUUUAUUUGAUUGGUUUGGAACUUGAAUUUUUUUUUUUUUUUUGAAAGCUGGUAAAAAUUUGGAACUUGAAUUGUAACAGAGAAUGUCUUUUUGUUUUCAUUUAAUGGUUCCAUAAUUAGAAGACAUAUACUGGUAGCUCAACGUUUUGUGUGGUUAGCAACGUGACCAUCUAAAAGGAGAUUAAGAUUAAGACUAAGAAUUCGAGUAACGACCGAGGAAAUGGAUUAUAUAGCCGUCUAAAAUUCAAAACUUGUUGUUAUAUAUACACAAAAAAUCAUAACUACAAAAUGCAGAUAUUUUUUUAAUCACUUGUUAAUGCAUGCGCAACCGUAACAUUAUUAUUUUUAUUUGUAAACGGAAGAAGUAUAUUUUCAAACAAUUAGGAUUCAUAACGAAUGCAAUGUUUAUUAUUUAUCAAAAUAUUUUUGUAACAUCCCGAGUUGUGAUAUGUGAAAAGGCUUAACAGAAUUGAUUUGACUACCUAUGUCACCAAAGUUGACUUACCUUUUCCGGAGCACAUCCGUUUAGAACUCCAGAGUUAAGCGUGCUUGAGCUGGAGUAGUGGAAGGAUGGGUGACCUAUCGGGAAGUGAUUCGCGAUACCGUGUGAGUGAGGCCAAAGCACGGGAAAAAGUCGGGUAGUGAUUGCAGGGUCAGUAAACAAUGAUUUCGAGCCUUCAGAAAUUAACGGACCGACCGUCGGAUGAGAUGGGGCCUACGGGCCGAGAGAGCGGGCGUGGGUGGCCCAUUAGCCGUGGGCGGUCGGGGCGUUAUAAUUUUUUUCUGAAUUAUGUUACCUCUCUUAUUUUGGGGUGAAAAUAUCUACCGACCGAUCGAAAAUUCAAAAUAUGAUGUGAAGGAUUAAUUCAACGCAACUCUUCUCGUGUUUGCAUUUAGUAUCAACUUCCACAACUACUCUGCUUAUCUUGGGCCCGCCCUAUAGGGCCUCAAUUCCAUGAUUAAGUAGUGUUUCUUUUAGCGGCCCACAAAAAUCCAAUUGAGAGGACCAGACCAGAGAUAGUUCUAACUUCACGUUAUAAUUUUUAUUUCGGUUAUGGAAGCUCAUUUUUCAUUUUUAUUAUUGAUGUAUAAACAAUCUUAAAAUUAUAACGUAAACAAUCUUAGAGCAACAUUAUUGGUAGUCCCAACAUUGGUCCUUAGAACACCAUUAUCCUAGAGACCCAUUUAGGGUCUCUUAUUUUUUUUUAAUAUGUUUUAAUCGUAAAAGUGAAUUAAAAGACUGGAUGAAUCGACCCGAAAAUUUACUUGUUCCAUUGCAAGUCUCUUAUUUAAAGGUUCUUAAAAAAAAAAAAUUUAAUUAAACACUAAAUUUUUGAUUUUUCUUAUUAAACUUAAACUUUUUCUAAGUAAUACUAGUUUCAUUACAAGUUUCUAAGACAUGUGAAUACUAGUACUUACAAAAACAUACAAGUUUCUAAAGGAACAUAAAAGAACGUACCAAGUGGAGAAGACAAGCUCGAAGUCUCCUCACACAAGCAGCCCGCCAACACACUGCUCAGAAUAGUGCCGCAGCUUCCUUCCGUGUCAAACUUAAUCACUUGCUUGUAAUGGCUCAUGAUGUCACAGUUGGCAACGAUUUUCGCCUCUUCUUCAAGGUUAUGCAUAUUGAUACUAUUUUUUUUCUUGGAAUCUGAAAACAUUUGGGCUAAGAUGUGUUGACAGUCUUGGCCCUAUUUGUCUUUAGCAGGUGGUGAUUUGUCUGUGGCUUCUUUCUGCCAUUGGUUGCUAUAUUUCUUUCUGCACUCUUGUUUAUAUCGGUUAGUAACUUUUGAUCCCUAUAUAAAAGAAAAAAAAAGCAUUUAAAGGGCCUUUCCUGCAUGUCUUCAUAACCUUUUAACUCUUAAUGGUUACUCCAUUUGCGUUCAGGGACUAUCCUCUCUGUAACAAUACCGGCUUUGUACAGCAAAUAUCAAAGCAGAGUAGACAAGUGUUGCGGUUUGAUUCACAGGCAGUUGUCUCAUCACUACAAGCUAGUUGACGAAAAUGUUAUAAGCAGACUCUCAUGGAGCUUUUCCAAGGAUAAAGAUUCCUGAGCUUUAGUUUGGUUGAUUUUGAAAAUGCUUUUACUCGUCUUUCUUCACUAGUUAAGUUUUCUUCUUAUCUUACCAUGUGGAGUAUGUAACUAAAUGACAAUGAUGAAUAUAUGAGAUGUUAUUAAUCGUUCAAGUAAAUGAUAUGUCUCCAUUUUUUUUUGUCUAUAUGGGUUUAGACACUAUCAUUGGCUCUAGCCUGAUGGAGAAACAAUCUUGAAACUGGCUUCUGUUCCCUUUGGGAUUCUUGAGUACCCCAUUUGCCCAGUAAUGUUAGGUCAAGUGUCCAUGUUACAUUUAAUUUUCAAUGAAAAGAAUACAAUAUAGUUGGACUACUUACUAUAUGAAUAAGGUAUUCCAUGAGGAUCCUGUCUAUAAACUCUAUUUAGCUAUACCUAAUCUAAUUUUAGUUUCCAAUACUUUUUGAACGACUAGCUAUCAUUUAUCCUUGUAUGUAUAAAACUAUGAUUAAAUGGAGACCAUAGAGCUAAAUAGUCCUCCGUUUCCAUCUACUAAACAAUCAUUAGCAUAUCUCUAGAAGUUUCAACUCUGGUAUGAUAAUUAUGUCUAAUCUAAACUAGUCACCAACUAAAAUUAAAUACUAACUGAUUUUUUUCUAACAACUAAGAAAUUAGUCAUUAAUAAUGAUGUUAUGAAUCUCACAUUAAACUUGAAUAUUUUAUUUAUAUAGAUACAACAAAUACGAGUACCUUUAAUUUUCUGAAAAUAUAUGAGACUUUGUAGUAACGUCCAACCAAGCAUAAUAUAAAGGAAUAGUAAAUAAUAAAUAUACACACAAUAGAUUCGUGUAUGAGGUUGAUGAAUUCAUUUUUCACACGUUGGAGUGUUAUUGUCAACCAAUGGAACUAUUGAAGCUAAGAGAGACAAGUGUUGUGUCGUUUGCGUGAACUUGUAUUGUCUAUUUUUAUUCGUAUACUUCUUCAUUAAUUAGUUUGUUUGAAUUUGGACUUCUUAAUCUUAAAUUCUUAAUACUUGUGGACCCGUAAACGCCACAUGAGUUUCUAUGAGCCAUUCAAUUCGUAAACCAGUUACAUACACAUGUUUUUCACCAUCGCAAUAUGUUUUAUGAAUCUGAAUCUGGAUUAACCAUGUAUGAAUUUUGUAGUAUCAUCAUAUGGUAAAUCAACUAAAUGGAAAAUUAACUAAUCUUUACCGACUACACAUAUACGGUGACCAAACUCUAGGUCCUUUCAUUUUUUCUCAAGGAUAAUGCCAUAUACCUAAUUAUUGAAAACCAUUUUGAUUAGUAAUGAUGUGUCUACCCACAAGAAGACGAAAAACAUGGAAUACUUAUAUGAUAUUAUAUGUUAAUUAUAUUCGACAUAAUUAGUUGGGAAUAUGAUACCCCAACCAUGCAGAGUUGUAUAUAAUCAAUUAUUAUUUUUAUACAUCAAAUCUUAUUUGUAGUUUUUUCUUAUUUGAGGACUAAGUCCUUUUAGCUUGAUUCCAAAGUUCUUAAAACCACUACUAAUGAGUUUGUUAGUUGUCGAUUCUGAUAUCUACUAAACUAAUCGUUUUCUUAUUUGUCUUCUUCUCUACUCUAUCCUUUAUAUUUUCCUUAGUCAAAAGAAAAUGCACAUCGAUCCAACAUUGAAUUGAAUUACAUAAUAGGGUCCCAUUAAAUAAAACUACACAAACCCUCUUGUUAAACAGUUCUUCAAGAACCACGUCAAGGUACACAUACAAAGUCUAUUAAUAAUAUUCAUAUAUAUCAACAAAUUUUGAAGAUGGUAAAUUAAACAACCUAUGAUCUUUCGCUUUAGACCAUGGUGGACAGAGUGAAUACAUUUACCAAAAUUGCAUACAAAGAUGAACCAACCAUUAUGGCUUGGGAGCUCAUGAACGAACCCCAAUGCAAAGCAGAUCCAAGUGGAAAAACCCUGACGGCUUGGAUUGGUGAAAUGGCUACUUACGUGAAAUCACUUGAUUCAAAACAUCUCCUCUCUACCGGUCUUGAAGGCUUCUAUGGUGACUCUUCUCCUCAAAGAAAAGCUUCUUUGAAUCCAGUUGCAGCCAACGUUCUUGGAACCGAUUUCAUCGCUAAUCACUUUUUCGACGCCAUUGAUUUCGCAUCGAUUCACUCUUACCCUGACUUAUGGUAAUAUAUAAUAAACUCACAUAACUGACUUAUUUUGCCUUCUCUCAUCUUCAUUCACAAGUCAGGAGAAGAAACAAAUCAGAAAAUUGAGUCAAAAGCUCAAAACUCUAAAAGAAAGAGUGAAGAGAAAAAACAAAUCGUGGAUCGUUUGAGCAAACAAGACAAAUUUUGAAGGUGUUACUUUCUGAUCUCCUCUUUUUCUCAAACAUACCUCAAAGAUGGCUCGGGUGUUACUUGAGCCGCAAGCAAACGCACCGGCCGACGCAAACCCUAAAGCCAGAACAGGCUUUAACGACACCUACUUCGACACUAACAUGGUCAUUAUCUUAGCUGCUCUACUCUGUGCUCUGAUAUGUGCUCUAAGCCUCAACUCUGCUUUGCGAUGUGUGCUACGCAUCACAAGCAGAUUCACACCGGAGCAAGACGCAGCCGCUUCAAACGCAAACGC